Anthonomus grandis grandis is the source of this 534-nucleotide long non-coding RNA. RefSeq lists it as uncharacterized. The record is from RefSeq and is a predicted model, not a curated record. The transcript is spliced from 2 exons. NCBI's taxonomy places the organism in Eukaryota, Metazoa, Arthropoda, Insecta, Coleoptera, Curculionidae.
AGUAUGCGUACGUACAAAGGCGGUCGUCAAAAGUGCACCGGGCAUUAAAACCAUCGAACAUGAAGCGUAUUAGUAACAAACAACUACGAAUAGAAAUAAUAGUUGGCGAUAUAUUGUAUGUGGCCGGUGCCGCUUCUAUAAUGGCGGCGUCCGCGUAUUGCAACAUUUGUCCUACAUCCAGGUCAUUGCUAUGCGAGAGCAGCAGCAGCAGCAGCAGCAACAUUCUCCUCAUUGAAAUCGAAUGGACUAUACAGGGUGAGUUUUGUCUAGGAUCUAUGAAAGGAGUGAUAUGAUAAAGCAAACAGCGGUGUCCAAACACCCAAGCAACACACGAUAGUUCAUUUUUGGUUUACACCAGGUGUACGUGUUUGGUUGAACUUCAACUGUAAAUAUCGGAUAAAAUUACUUAAAAGUGCCUCUUGCAGAGGUUUUUUAUAAUCGAGAUGCAUUGUUAUGUGCUAACUUCACCUAAAUCAUAGGUAUAAUUGUUUUGUACUUUUUGAUAUUUGCAAAUAAAUGUUUUGAAAUUGAAAA